CAGCCGCCGCGGGAAUACGUAGGGUCCGAGCGUUGUCCGGAAUUAUUGGGCGUAAAGGGCUCGUAGGCGGUUUGUCGCGUCGGGAGUGAAAACCAGCAGCUUAACUGCUGGCCUGCUUUCGAUACGGGCAGACUUGAGGCAUUCAGGGGAGAACGGAAUUCCUGGUGUAGCGGUGAAAUGCGCAGAUAUCAGGAGGAACACCGGUGGCGAAGGCGGUUCUCUGGGAAUGUUCUGACGCUGAGGAGCGAAAGUGUGGGGAGCGAACAGGAUUAGAUACCCCUGUAGUCCCUGUCUCUUAACA
RNAcentral lists this ribosomal RNA (301 nucleotides) under uncultured bacterium. RNAcentral describes it as "partial 16S ribosomal RNA". It matches the Rfam family "Bacterial small subunit ribosomal RNA", at positions 509 to 808 of the family's 1533-position model. The record is from RNAcentral.